Molecule: long non-coding RNA, 1584 nt
Organism: Gorilla gorilla gorilla (western lowland gorilla)
Lineage: Eukaryota; Metazoa; Chordata; Mammalia; Primates; Hominidae
Exons: 2
Source: RefSeq, a predicted model, not a curated record
AAGAGCUAAAAAAGGAGAAAGGGUCACCGAGCAGGUUUUCUGUGUCUGAGCCCCAGAGUUCAAUCUCUGCUGACCAGACCCCCACUGACCAGACCCCUGAGUGGUGGUGCUCAGAGUCCCCUACCAAUGGCCCUUCUCAGUCCACAGACCUCUCCCUCCCCUCAUCGGCACCCACAGGUGACUGAGAGUCUUCUCGGGACUGGACCCCAACUCCAGGACACAGGGAGGGGCAGUUUGUCCCAGGCUCCGGGUGCUGAGCUUCACGCUUGUGCCACAAGGUCCUCUGGGCCAUCUCAAAGGGGACAGUGAUGUGGCCUCGCACAUCUGGAUGCACUGUCUGGGCCUAUUCCUGAGCCACAUAGCCAGAGGAACAGGAAGCUGUUUGUCAACCCAGGCACCCCACUCUGCUGGGUCUCCCAGGGUCCUUCCCAUGGAGGCCAGAUCCAGAGACACAGCACAGAGGCAGCAGGGUGACCGGCCCAGAACCCUUGAGACUAGGCUGGGGAUGACAGGAGGACUGUCCCCAGACAACCAGAAGACCCUUUGCUAGUUUCUUGGUACUUCAUUUCUCACCUGCCACCCUUACUCCACCAGAAAUCCCCUUCAUGCAGAGUCAAUGAGGAGAGGAAGAUGGACACAGAAUCUGUGGAAAGAAAGAAAACAAAAGCCAGCAAGCGUCUGCACCAGUGCCGGGAUUUGUGUCCACCGUUAUAAGAAGGCAGCUGCUUGCAUGAGGCAUGGCGGUGAGGAAACAAUGCCACCCAGAUUUCACCAUUGGCCGUGUGGACUGGCUCUACCAUGGGCCAGACGCAUGUCUUGGGCAGACACUUUUUAGAUGCCAACUUGCCUGUAGACAAAGAUGACGCAGAGGUGGCCUCGGGGAGGGCCUAUGUGGUGGGUUGAAUUUGUCCCCUGAAAUUCCUAUGCUGAUGUCCUUAGCCCCAGUGCCUGAGAAUGUGAUCUUAUUUGGAGACAGCGUCUUAUAGAAAUAAGUUAAAAUGAAAAAUGAGAUCAUUAGGGGGUGCCCAAUUCAAUAUGACUGAUGUCCUUAUAAAAGGGCAAAUUUGGACACAGAGACAUGCAUAGAGGGAAGACCAGGUGAAGAGACACCGGGAAGGCCACCUACAUGCCAGGAGAGAGACCUGAAACAGAGCCUUCCCGCACCGCCCUGGAAAGGGACUUUCCCUGCCGACACCUUGAUCUUGGACCUACAGCCUCCAGGACUGUGAGACAGUGAGAUUCUGUUGCUGAAGCUGCCCGGUCUGUGGUACUUUAAGGAAGCCCUAGCAAACCAAUGCAGCCUGGUAGCCCACAGCUGGUGAAAAGAUGGAUGAGCGAUGGAGACUCAGGCUUCCUGUUUAUACCUCCCAAAGUGCACUAUGGGAUCUUUUGCUGGGUGUAGGUUUGCAAGAUAAUUCUGGCCAGUGUGGGGACGGCGGGGUGCAGGGUGCAUAAUUUCAGUGUAUAUUAUCGUAUGUUUAUCUUACUGUGUAAAUGCUUGUAAGAACAGUUAACCAACUUAAAGUUUAUAUGCUACUCAUGAUACACUUUAAAUGCUAAUAAAAAUGGAUGCAAAUGAAAACA